Molecule: ribosomal RNA, 309 nt
Filed under: uncultured soil bacterium
Lineage: Bacteria
Description: bacterial SSU rRNA
Rfam family: Bacterial small subunit ribosomal RNA
Source: RNAcentral
AGAGUGAACGCUGGCGGCAGGCCUAACACAUGCAAGUCGAACGGCAGCACAGGGGAGCUUGCUCCCUGGGUGGCGAGUGGCGGACGGGUGAGGACAACGUCGGAAUCUGCCUUUUUGUGGGGGAUAACGUAGGGAAACUUACGCUAAUACCGCAUACGACCCGGGCCGGAGGUACGGGUGAAAGCGGAGGACCUUCGGGCUUCGCGCAGAGAGAUGAGCCGACGUCGGAUUAGCUAGUUGGUGGGGUAAAGGCCCAUCAAGGCGACGAUCCGUAGCUGGUCUGAGAGGAUGAUCAGCCACACUGGAACU